This is a long non-coding RNA of Magnolia sinica, 3011 nucleotides long. RefSeq lists it as uncharacterized. The transcript has 4 exons. The record is from RefSeq and is a predicted model, not a curated record. NCBI's taxonomy places the organism in Eukaryota, Viridiplantae, Streptophyta, Magnoliopsida, Magnoliales, Magnoliaceae.
GUUUUUUUUUUGUUGAAGGAAACAAGAUGAUAACUCUCUCAACCUGUCAAGAUUAGUAACGAAAAACUCAAAAGUAGAACCUCUCCAAUGUAUUUGUCUGAAUAACUUCCAACCAUAGUUCUAAAACUUGUUGACUUGACUUGAAACUUGUGAGAUUUCUGCAGGAAACUGGAAUUUGCUGGUGACUCAGCCCAGUUACCUGGAAACUUGUUGAGUUGACCCACUAAUUCGGUCAACUCGACUCACCCUGACUCAGUCUGUGUCAAUCAUCUAGUCAGAAGUAUUUUUAAUUAAAAGUAAAAAAAGAUUACUUAUGCUAGAUUCAAACUUGCAACCUCUUUGACAUGGACUUGGAUUAUUGGAUAGUGACCCCUCGUGGACUGACCUAGGUACUGGCAAAGCUCUGUUGGCCCCACCAUGAUAUAUGUGCUUUAUCCAUGAUGUCCAUCCAUUUUGCCAUGACAUGAGUUAAAAAAUGAGCCAUUUUGCCAUCUCAUUUUAGGACAUGAGUUAAAAAAUAAGGUAGAUCCAAAUCUCUGGUGGACCACACCACAAGAAACAAUGGCAGUUGAAUGCCCCCCAUUAAAAACUUCAUGGGGCGUAAAAGUUUUCGAUCAAGCUGAUAUUUAUGUUUUCCCUUCAUCCAGUUCUGUCCCUUUAACAUGUGAAGUUUUAUUUAUUUAUUUAUGGUGGGUGUCAAUAACCACUGUUUCUGCAGUGUGGUCCACCAGAGAUUUUUGGGCAUGAGCCGGCAAAAUGAAUGGACGCCAUGGAUAAAAUACAUGCAUCAUGGCAGGGCCCACAUAACACCGACUACUACUGACCUUAGUACUGUUAAGGGUCACUACCAAAUCCCACUCCCCCACAAUCGGUGUCCAUAUCUACCAACGCGAUGAAUGCGGCUGGUAUGUUGAUGUGUUGGAAACUGUGGGGCCCAACAUGAUGUAUGUGGUUUAUAUCCAGAUGGUCCCUCCGUUUUUCCGGUUCAUUUCAGGGCCUGAACUCAAAAUGAAACAUACCCUAAAACUUUCCAAAGCCCCGUUUGUCUUUUAUCCAACUUCUUGAUAAGGUUAAUGUGAAAGCCUCUUCCCAUGCCCGCAUGGCGGUGACCUCACACUACAAGAAAUACCCUUAUUAGGGGCGUUUUUAUCACAGGCGGCCAUAAUAAACGCCACUGUAGAUGGUAAUUAGGGGCGUUUUUAUGUGGCCGCCUGUGUAGGAUGAAGCCACCGCUACACAUUCCAAAUUAAAAAAAAAAAACCUAAAAUAUAUUUCCCCAAAUCGCCCGCCCAAACUCCAAAAGGUGCUUCUUCUCCCGCGCGCCUCUUCUCUCCAAAAACCUUCUCCCCUCUUUCUAUUCCUCAUCAGGGACGCCUCUUCUCUCCAAAAGAAUUCUGCUGCUGCUUAUUUGGGUUCUUAGAUCAGAUCUACAGCUACAGAUCGAGUACGCCCAGUAACCUACGGACGUGGUCAUCAACGGUGAAGAGAAUAAAAGAAAUCUGAGAAGGCACUUAACAGUUGGAUUGGCAAAAAUUCUGGAUUUAUAUUAUGAAGAUCUGUACACCUUCCCUAACAAACAGCUCUCAUCUGGGUUGGUUUCAGAAAUUUCAAAAUUAUCAAAGAGUAAGAGGAGCUCUUCAGCGUUGCGAAUGCUAUCUUUUACAUUUGCUGGUGGAUGUUUUCUGGUAGCCAUUGGUAUUCUUGCUCAACUUUGUAAGCCUCACCUCUUCAGGCUAGAAAAUCUCCAGCCUUGAGUUUCUUUUCUCUAAGCCUAUAUAUUCCCACCACCGAGCCUUAAGUUGUUUGUACUUGUAGUGGUAUUCUUAUCAUAUUCACUCUAAUUUUAUGAUGUUAUUUUGCCAAGUCUACCAAAUGAGGCCGUAGCUUCAUUUCUCAAUUCCAUCAUUCAUGCAAAUAAUGUGGAACAGUGGAAGUGAGAUCCUCGACUUCCAUACUUAUGCAUUCCCAGAUAAGGUGGUUUCUUCUAGUUUGAAUUUUUAAUAUGCUAUUUUAAGUCAAGUUGUUCCUUCAUUGGAGGACGAUACUACUUUCAUCCAAGAACUAUUUGUGAGAAUGAGAUAUUAAUGCACGACUUCUGCAGCAUCAAAAAAUAAUUUGGUAUUUUUUUCUUGUAUCUGUGAAUCUAAGCUGGAUACGUCUGUCAAAUUCAGGGUGAGGUUUUCGGGUUCUUCCGUUUUUCUCGUAGUAGUGAUGAUAAUCAAACCCUAUAUGUCUCUUGGAACACCAUAUCAUGGGAGAGAGUUGGAUCAAAGAAAAUAGUCCGUGACCCUAUUUCUGCCUUCAAUGUUUCAGCUGAUGGAGAAUUCCUUGCAGUGUAAAUCUUCAAUUAAUGCUUCUUAUAGAAGAAGAAUUUUGAUUCCAUUUUAUACUCUUUCCGAUUUGAGUGAUUGAAUUGGUUUGAAGAACUGACAUUUUUCUAUCAUUCGUAUGGUAAUUGUCUGAUAUUGGUUGUUCUUGACACUCUUCAUGAAGUGAUGGAUCAAGAUUCUACUCGAGGAUCACACAUCUGCUUAAAAAUUUUCAAGUAGCUCCAUUUCUACUCACACAUUUUCUUUGUCAUUGUUAUCUGUUUUCUAUUCUAUCCUGAUUCUUGUUUCAGUUGAACAACUGAAAUUUUCAAAUAGGCUUUGGGAGUUUUUUAAAUAUUUUGAUUCGAUGGAGUUGUUUCUCAGUUUUAUUUCUAGCCUAUAGAAAAUUUUCAACAUCAACAUGCACAAAAUCUAUCCUUGUUGGAAGCUUCCUCAUUGCUCAAUACACCCAACCAAAUCGAUCUCUCCCUGGAAGUCAUCUUAUCUUGGAGACACCUUGAUUUCUGGAUUUACAUUUGAUCAUGGCAAUCAGCAACCCGACUUUCCACAUCUUCAUCAAACCAUUGGGCUUCUUGAAAGGAGGAUUCUAACCUUUUGGAAGUCCUGAACUCACCCACUGAAUAUGCUCCAUCCAUCAUACAUUCAUAUAAGCAUGCACUUUUUUAAACUUCACGCAUCUUU